UGAAUACGAGACGCUAAGGCGUCGAAGUAGUGUAUGUCAUACUUCCAAGAAAAGCUUGCACUGUCAUAGAUAAAAAACGCCUGUACCAUAACCGACACAGGUGGGUAGGUAGAGUAUACUAAGGGGCGCGAGAUAACUCUCUCUAAGGAACUCGGCAAAAUAACUCCGUAACUUCGGGAGAAGGAGUGCCUUAUUCGUAAGGUUGCAAUAACAAGAUCCAAGCAACUGUUUAUCAAAAACACAGGUCUCCGCUAAGUCGUAAGACGAUGUAUGGGGGCUGACGCCUGCCCAGUGCCAGAAGGUUAAAGAAGUUGGUUAGCAAUUGCGAAGCUGAUAACUGAAGUCCUGGUGAACGGCGGCCGUAACAAUAACGGUCCUAAGGUAGCGAAUUUCCUUGUCGGGUAAGUUCCGACCCGCACGAAAGGCGUAAUGAUUUGGAUACUGUCUCGGAGAGGGGCUCGGUGAAAUAGACUUGUCUGUGAAGAUGCGGACUACCUGCACCAGGACAGAAAGACCCUAUGAAGCUUUACUGUAACUUGAAAUUGGACUUUAUUCGCGCAGUAUAGGUGGGAGGCGUUGAUUAUAAUCUUGUGGGAUUAUUGGAGCCAUCAGUGAGAUACCACUCUUGUAUGUUAGAUUUCUAACUUUGAAUCAUUAUCUGGUCAAAGAACAGUUUCAGGCGGGCAGUUUGACUGGGGCGGUCGCCUCCUAAACGGUAACGGAGGCGUACAAAGGUUUCCUCUGAACGGUUAGAAAUCGUAUCUAGAGUGUAAAGGCAUAAGGAAGCUUGACUGUGAGACCUACAAGUCGAGCAGGGACGAAAGUCGGUCUUAGUGAUCUGACGGUACUGAGUGGAAAGGCCGUCACUCAACGGAUAAAAGUUACUCUAGGAUAACAGGCUGAUCUCCCCCAAGAGUUCACAUCGACGGGGAGGUUUGGCACCUCGAUGUCGGCUCAUCGCAUCCUGGGGCGGUAGUACGUCCCAAGGGUUGGGCUGUUCGCCCAUGAAAGCGGUACGCGAGCUGGGUUCAGAACGUCGUGAGACAGUUCGGUCCAUAUCCGGUGUAGGCGUUAGAAUAUUGAGAGGAGCCUUCUUUAGUACGAGAGGACCGAGAAGGACAUACCUCUGGUGUACCAGUUAUCGUGCCAACGGUAAACGCUGGGUAGCUAUGUAUGGAGUGGAUAACCGCUGAAAGCAUCUAAGUGGGAAGCCCACCUCAAGAUAAGUAUUCUCAU
This 1236-nucleotide ribosomal RNA is filed under the name metagenome. RNAcentral's name for it is "bacterial LSU rRNA". It matches the Rfam family "Bacterial large subunit ribosomal RNA", at positions 1564 to 2817 of the family's 2925-position model. The record is from RNAcentral.